RNAcentral lists this ribosomal RNA (335 nucleotides) under uncultured bacterium. RNAcentral describes it as "bacterial SSU rRNA". It matches the Rfam family "Bacterial small subunit ribosomal RNA", at positions 1 to 334 of the family's 1533-position model. The record is from RNAcentral.
GUCUAGUACUCAGAGUUUGAUCCUGGCUCAGGACGAACGCUGGCGGCGUGCCUAACACAUGCAAGUCGAACGGAGUUGUCCUUCGGGGACAGCUUAGUGGCGAACGGGUGAGUAACGCGUGAGAAACCUGCCUUUCAGUGGGGGACAACAGUUGGAAACGACUGCUAAUACCGCAUAAUGUAUCGAUGGGGCAUCCUGUUGAUACCAAAGAUUUAUUGCUGAAAGAUGGUCUCGCGUCUGAUUAGCUAGUUGGUGAGGUAACGGCUCACCAAGGCGACGAUCAGUAGCCGGUCUGAGAGGAUGAACGGCCACAUUGGGACUGAGAUACGGCCCAG